RNAcentral lists this ribosomal RNA (429 nucleotides) under uncultured bacterium. RNAcentral describes it as "bacterial SSU rRNA". It matches the Rfam family "Bacterial small subunit ribosomal RNA", at positions 42 to 488 of the family's 1533-position model. The record is from RNAcentral.
UCAGGCCUAACACAUACAAGUCGAACGGUAACGCGGGGCAACCUGGCGACGAGUGGCGAACGGGUGAGUAAUGCAUCGGAACGUGCCUGGUAGUGGGGGAUAACUGCUCGAAAGAGCAGCUAAUACCGCAUACGACCUGAGGGUGAAAGGGGGGGAUCGCAAGACCUCUCGCUAUCAGAGCGGCCGAUGUCGGAUUAGCUAGUUGGUGGGGUAAAGGCCCACCAAGGCGACGAUCCGUAGCUGGUCUGAGAGGACGACCAGCCACACUGGGACUGAGACACGGCCCAGACUCCUACGGGAGGCAGCAGUGGGGAAUUUUGGACAAUGGACGCAAGUCUGAUCCAGUAGUGCCGCGUGCGGGAAGAAGGCCUUCGGGUUGUUUUAAAGGGUGUCAGGGAAGAAAUCUUCUGGGUUAAUACCUCGGGAGGA